This is a microRNA precursor of Vombatus ursinus (common wombat), 74 nucleotides long. The record is from Ensembl. NCBI's taxonomy places the organism in Eukaryota, Metazoa, Chordata, Mammalia, Diprotodontia, Vombatidae.
GCACCCGCCAGGCCCGGUGUGGCAGCUGGUGUUGUGAAUCAGGCCGUCGCCAGUCUAAGAACGGCUACUUCACA